RNAcentral lists this long non-coding RNA (801 nucleotides) under Actinidia chinensis (golden kiwifruit). RNAcentral describes it as "long non-coding RNA (ACHI_LNC003557)". Lineage: Eukaryota; Viridiplantae; Streptophyta; Magnoliopsida; Ericales; Actinidiaceae. The record is from RNAcentral.
ACUGGAUGAAUAAUAAGACUCCCACACGCCGCCUCUCUCUCUAUUUACUCUCUCUCACACAACUGAUUGCUGAGGACUGCUGUGUGUGAGGCUCGAGAGAUGGGAUUGGCUGUUUGCCCCUCUCUGCACCAUCAACUUGUCUCUCUAUAUCACGCAACACCUCUCUCUCUGUUUUGGUCUCACGCUACCUAUCUCUAUAUAUCUCACUCAACCUCUCUCAAUCUCUCACGCAACAAAAUUCUGGGUUUGUGAGGCUCAAAACGCUGGUUCGAGGAUCAAACACAGAGGCUCAAAACGCAACCCAAAUUGUAGUUUUUUUGUUGUCUACUUGGUUUUGAAUAUUCUAUGUGUUUGAUUUUAUAUGGGUUGUGUGUAUGAUUUUAUAUGGGGCAAAGAGGUUAUGUAUAUGCGAUUUGUCUAUCACUGUUUGGGGUGCCCAGAGUAUAUGCAUUCCUAUGUUUAUGUUUCCUGUGCCCAGAGUUUAUCUUUCUUGUGUUUAUGCUUUUGAUUUUUAUUUUCUUACUGUUUCUGAGCAUCUCUUAGUGAAUUUGUUUAUCUGUGUUUGAUAAAAAUCUAUGGCUAAGUUAACAGGAGGAAGGGAUGAGAAUACAGAUAAUUUUAGACUUUCCUAAACAAAGUUUUAGCUUUCUGAAUUUGAAAAUUAGAAUAUGGGCAAUAAUAAUAUGCUACUUUAUGGUUUUGGGAAAUUCUAUGGGCAUUAAAAUUAGAAUAUCUGCAGCACCAACAAGUGUGUUGAGAGAAGUUCAUCAGAGAAGAAGUGAAUGAGUGUUUUGAAUUUGU